UACGGAGGGUGCGAGCGUUGUCCGGAAUCACUGGGCGUAAAGGGCGCGUAGGCGGCCCGGUAAGUAGGGGGUGAAAUCUUGCGGCUUAACCGCAAGGCUGCCUUCUAAACUGCCAGGCUCGAGCACAGUAGAGGCAGGUGGAAUUCCCGGAGUAGCGGUGGAAUGCGUAGAGAUCGGGAAGAACAUCGGUGGCGAAGGCGGCCUGCUGGGCUGUUGCUGACGCUGAGGCGCGACAGCGUGGGGAGCAAACAGG
RNAcentral lists this ribosomal RNA (253 nucleotides) under uncultured bacterium. RNAcentral describes it as "partial 16S ribosomal RNA". It matches the Rfam family "Bacterial small subunit ribosomal RNA", at positions 524 to 776 of the family's 1533-position model. The record is from RNAcentral.